Molecule: ribosomal RNA, 2891 nt
Filed under: Klebsiella pneumoniae
Lineage: Bacteria; Pseudomonadati; Pseudomonadota; Gammaproteobacteria; Enterobacterales; Enterobacteriaceae
Description: partial 23S ribosomal RNA
Rfam family: Bacterial large subunit ribosomal RNA
Source: RNAcentral
GGUUAAGCGACUAAGCGUACACGGUGGAUGCCCUGGCAGUCAGAGGCGAUGAAGGACGUGCUAAUCUGCGAAAAGCGUCGGUAAGGUGAUAUGAACCGUUAUAACCGGCGAUGUCCGAAUGGGGAAACCCAGUGCAAUUCGUUGCACUAUCGUUAACUGAAUACAUAGGUUAACGAGGCGAACCGGGGGAACUGAAACAUCUAAGUACCCCGAGGAAAAGAAAUCAACCGAGAUUCCCCCAGUAGCGGCGAGCGAACGGGGAGCAGCCCAGAGUCUGAAUCAGCUUGUGUGUUAGUGGAACGGUCUGGAAAGUCCGACGGUACAGGGUGAUAGUCCCGUACACCAAAAUGCACAGGCUGUGAACUCGAAGAGUAGGGCGGGACACGUGGUAUCCUGUCUGAAUAUGGGGGGACCAUCCUCCAAGGCUAAAUACUCCUGACUGACCGAUAGUGAACCAGUACCGUGAGGGAAAGGCGAAAAGAACCCCGGCGAGGGGAGUGAAAAAGAACCUGAAACCGUGUACGUACAAGCAGUGGGAGCACCUUCGGGUGUGACUGCGUACCUUUUGUAUAAUGGGUCAGCGACUUAUAUUCUGUAGCAAGGUUAACCGUAUAGGGGAGCCGCAGGGAAACCGAGUCUUAACUGGGCGUUAAGUUGCAGGGUAUAGACCCGAAACCCGGUGAUCUAGCCAUGGGCAGGUUGAAGGUUGGGUAACACUAACUGGAGGACCGAACCGACUAAUGUUGAAAAAUUAGCGGAUGACUUGUGGCUGGGGGUGAAAGGCCAAUCAAACCGGGAGAUAGCUGGUUCUCCCCGAAAGCUAUUUAGGUAGCGCCUCGUGAACUCAUCUUCGGGGGUAGAGCACUGUUUCGGCUAGGGGGUCAUCCCGACUUACCAACCCGAUGCAAACUACGAAUACCGAAGAAUGUUAUCACGGGAGACACACGGCGGGUGCUAACGUCCGUCGUGAAGAGGGAAACAACCCAGACCGCCAGCUAAGGUCCCAAAGUCAUGGUUAAGUGGGAAACGAUGUGGGAAGGCACAGACAGCCAGGAUGUUGGCUUAGAAGCAGCCAUCAUUUAAAGAAAGCGUAAUAGCUCACUGGUCGAGUCGGCCUGCGCGGAAGAUGUAACGGGGCUAAACCAUGCACCGAAGCUGCGGCAGCGACACUAUGUGUUGUUGGGUAGGGGAGCGUUCUGUAAGCCUGCGAAGGUGUGCUGUGAGGCAUGCUGGAGGUAUCAGAAGUGCGAAUGCUGACAUAAGUAACGAUAAAGCGGGUGAAAAGCCCGCUCGCCGGAAGACCAAGGGUUCCUGUCCAACGUUAAUCGGGGCAGGGUGAGUCGACCCCUAAGGCGAGGCCGAAAGGCGUAGUCGAUGGGAAACAGGUUAAUAUUCCUGUACUUGGUGUUACUGCGAAGGGGGGACGGAGAAGGCUAUGUUAGCCGGGCGACGGUUGUCCCGGUUUAAGCAUGUAGGCUGGUUAUCCAGGCAAAUCCGGAUAAUCAAGGCUGAGGUGUGAUGACGAGGCACUACGGUGCUGAAGUAACAAAUGCCCUGCUUCCAGGAAAAGCCUCUAAGCAUCAGGUAACAUCAAAUCGUACCCCAAACCGACACAGGUGGUCAGGUAGAGAAUACCAAGGCGCUUGAGAGAACUCGGGUGAAGGAACUAGGCAAAAUGGUGCCGUAACUUCGGGAGAAGGCACGCUGGUGUGUAGGUGAAGUCCCUGCGGAUGGAGCUGAGACCAGUCGAAGAUACCAGCUGGCUGCAACUGUUUAUUAAAAACACAGCACUGUGCAAACACGAAAGUGGACGUAUACGGUGUGACGCCUGCCCGGUGCCGGAAGGUUAAUUGAUGGGGUUAUCCGUAAGGAGAAGCUCUUGAUCGAAGCCCCGGUAAACGGCGGCCGUAACUAUAACGGUCCUAAGGUAGCGAAAUUCCUUGUCGGGUAAGUUCCGACCUGCACGAAUGGCGUAAUGAUGGCCAGGCUGUCUCCACCCGAGACUCAGUGAAAUUGAACUCGCUGUGAAGAUGCAGUGUACCCGCGGCAAGACGGAAAGACCCCGUGAACCUUUACUAUAGCUUGACACUGAACAUUGAGCCUUGAUGUGUAGGAUAGGUGGGAGGCUUUGAAGCGUGGACGCCAGUCUGCGUGGAGCCAACCUUGAAAUACCACCCUUUAAUGUUUGAUGUUCUAACGUUGGCCCCUGACCGGGGUUGCGGACAGUGUCUGGUGGGUAGUUUGACUGGGGCGGUCUCCUCCCAAAGCGUAACGGAGGAGCACGAAGGUUAGCUAAUCCUGGUCGGACAUCAGGAGGUUAGUGCAAUGGCAUAAGCUAGCUUGACUGCGAGCGUGACGGCGCGAGCAGGUGCGAAAGCAGGUCAUAGUGAUCCGGUGGUUCUGAAUGGAAGGGCCAUCGCUCAACGGAUAAAAGGUACUCCGGGGAUAACAGGCUGAUACCGCCCAAGAGUUCAUAUCGACGGCGGUGUUUGGCACCUCGAUGUCGGCUCAUCACAUCCUGGGGCUGAAGUAGGUCCCAAGGGUAUGGCUGUUCGCCAUUUAAAGUGGUACGCGAGCUGGGUUUAGAACGUCGUGAGACAGUUCGGUCCCUAUCUGCCGUGGGCGCUGGAGAAUUGAGGGGGGCUGCUCCUAGUACGAGAGGACCGGAGUGGACGCAUCACUGGUGUUCGGGUUGUCAUGCCAAUGGCACUGCCCGGUAGCUAAAUGCGGAAGAGAUAAGUGCUGAAAGCAUCUAAGCACGAAACUUGCCCCGAGAUGAGUUCUCCCUGAGACUUUGAGUGUCCGGAAGGAACGUUAAAGACGAUGACGUUGAUAGGCCGGGUGUGUAAGCGCAGCGAUGCGUUGAGCUAACCGGUACUAAUGAACCGUGA